Molecule: small RNA, 90 nt
Filed under: Pseudomonas sp. 43mfcvi1.1
Lineage: Bacteria; Pseudomonadati; Pseudomonadota; Gammaproteobacteria; Pseudomonadales; Pseudomonadaceae
Source: RNAcentral
UGUGGGAGCGAGCCUGCUCGCGAUGAGGGCGUGUCAGUCGACAUCAUUGUCUUCUGAUGCACCGCUAUCGCGAGCAGGCUCGCUCCCACA